RNAcentral lists this ribosomal RNA (629 nucleotides) under uncultured Russulaceae. RNAcentral's name for it is "LSU rRNA". It matches the Rfam family "Eukaryotic large subunit ribosomal RNA", at positions 47 to 649 of the family's 3401-position model. The record is from RNAcentral. Lineage: Eukaryota; Fungi; Basidiomycota; Agaricomycetes; Russulales; Russulaceae.
UAAGCGGAGGAAAAGAAACUAACAAAGGAUUUCCCUAGUAACUGCGAGUGAAGCGGGAAAAGCUCAAAUUUAAAAUCUGGUGGUCUUNGGCCAUNCGAGUUGUAAUCUAGAGAAGCGUCUUCCGCGCUGGACCGUGCACAAGUCUCCUGGAACGGAGCGUCGUAGAGGGUGAGAAUCCCGUCUUUGGCAUGGACACACCAGGGCUUUUGUGAUGCGCUCUCGAAGAGUCGAGUUGUUUGNGAAUGCAGCUCAAAAUGGGUGGUGAACUCCAUCUAAAGCUAAAUAUUGGCGAGAGACCGAUAGCGAACAAGUACCGUGAGGGAAAGAUGAAAAGCACUUUGGAAAGAGAGUGAAACAGUACGUGAAAUUGUUGAAAGGGAAACGCUUGGAGUCAGUCGCGUCGACCGAGACUCAGCCUCGCCUCGGCUUGGUGUACUUCUCGGCCCGACGGGUCAGCAUCAAUUUCGCCUCUUGGAUAAUGGCGAGGGAAACGUGACACCUUUACGGUGUGUUAUAGUCUCUCGUCGCAUGCAAGGGUCGGGAUUGAGGAACUCAGCACGCGCCUUUGGGCGUCGGGGCUUUGCCUACGAUACGUGCUUAGGAUGUUGGCGUAAUGGCUUUAAACGACC